Molecule: ribosomal RNA, 451 nt
Filed under: uncultured bacterium
Lineage: Bacteria
Description: partial 16S ribosomal RNA
Rfam family: Bacterial small subunit ribosomal RNA
Source: RNAcentral
AACGAACGCUGGCGGCAGGCUUAACACAUGCAAGUCGAACGGGUGUAGCAAUACAUCAGUGGCAGACGGGUGAGUAACACGUGGGAACCUUCCUAGGGGUACGGAACAACUCAGGGAAACUUGAGCUAAUACCGUAUACGUCCGUGAGGAGAAAGAUUUAUCGCCCUUAGACGGGCCCGCGUCGGAUUAGGUAGUUGGCGGGGUAACGGCCUACCAAGCCUACGAUCCGUAGCUGAUCUUAGAGGAUGAUCAGCCACACUGGGACUGAGACACGGCCCAGACUCCUACGGGAGGCAGCAGUGGGGAAUCUUGGACAAUGGGCGCAAGCCUGAUCCAGCCAUGCCGCGUGAGUGAAGAAGGCCUUAGGGUUGUAAAGCUCUUUUACCAGGGACGAUAAUGACGGUACCUGGAGAAUAAGCCCCGGCAAACUUCGUGCCAGCAGCCGCGGUAA